Otolemur garnettii (small-eared galago) is the source of this 321-nucleotide non-coding RNA. The record is from Rfam. NCBI's taxonomy places the organism in Eukaryota, Metazoa, Chordata, Mammalia, Primates, Galagidae.
GAAUGUGAGGGCGAUCCGGCUGCAGCAUCUGUCACCCCACUGACUGCCAGGGUUGAUUUGGCUGAUCUGGCUAUCUAGGCGGUUGUCCCCUUCCUCCCUCACUGUUCCAUGUGUGUCCCUCACAAGCUGUGUGCUCAAAGAGGAUGACCUUCCCCAAGAGAGGGGGACUGUUCUUUGGUCACCGGUACACAAGUACCUGUGCUCUCCUGCUAGGACCUCCAAACAAGCUCUCAAAUAUUUUUUCUGUUCCCCUAUCUUCAGUUCAUUUCAUUAUUUUAUUUUAUUUUUCUUGGUGUUUUAUUUUGGAUAGUCUCUAUAUUU